CUAUUUAUGAAAAAAUCUGGUUUGGUACUUGGUUGUGAAAACUUGUUCUUGCUUCAGGUUUCUCAAUGUGACGUGGAUGUGAACUGGCUGUGAGGAGGGUCUUUGGAAUCUUGCCAAAAUUCUUCUGCAAAGUGACUAGAAAAAUAUCAAAGUACGACUUGUUCGUAAAUGCAGGAGAUGCCUUCUUCAUGACAGGAAGAACCCUAAGUAAAUGCACACCUGCGACUUCUGAUAGGCAGAGCACAGUUUCAAUGUAGUGGAGGACCAGGAUACAAGGCUCCUUAUUUAGGGAUGGACCCUGGCUUGUGCCUGAAUAGUUCCAGAUGAAAGCCUAAGACUGCAGUAUG
Penaeus monodon (black tiger shrimp) is the source of this 347-nucleotide long non-coding RNA. RefSeq lists it as uncharacterized. Lineage: Eukaryota; Metazoa; Arthropoda; Malacostraca; Decapoda; Penaeidae. The transcript has 4 exons. The record is from RefSeq and is a predicted model, not a curated record.